UACGUAGGGUGCAAGCGUUGUCCGGAAUCAUUGGGCGUAAAGCGUUCGUAGGCGGUUUAGUAAGUCUAAUGUUAAAUCCUGGAGCUCAACUCCAGCAUGGCAUUGGAUACUGCUAGGCUAGAGUAUAGUAGAGGUAAGGGGAAUUCCUGGUGUAGCGGUGAAAUGCGUAGAUAUCAGGAGGAACAUCGGUGGCGAAAGCGCCUUACUGGACUAUUACUGACGCUGAGGAACGAAAGCUAGGGUAGCGAAAGGG
This 253-nucleotide ribosomal RNA is filed under the name uncultured bacterium. RNAcentral describes it as "partial 16S ribosomal RNA". It matches the Rfam family "Bacterial small subunit ribosomal RNA", at positions 524 to 776 of the family's 1533-position model. The record is from RNAcentral.